UCCCUGGUGGCUCAGAGGAUAAAGCCUCUGCCUGCAAUGCAGGAGACCCGGGUUCGAUCCCUGGGUUGGGAA
Transfer RNA from Ovis aries (sheep), 72 nucleotides. It matches the Rfam family "tRNA". From Rfam's summary of the family: Transfer RNA (tRNA) molecules are approximately 80 nucleotides in length. NCBI's taxonomy places the organism in Eukaryota, Metazoa, Chordata, Mammalia, Artiodactyla, Bovidae. The record is from Rfam.